Molecule: ribosomal RNA, 429 nt
Filed under: Gemmatimonadota bacterium
Lineage: Bacteria; Pseudomonadati; Gemmatimonadota
Description: Gemmatimonadetes bacterium partial 16S ribosomal RNA
Rfam family: Bacterial small subunit ribosomal RNA
Source: RNAcentral
UAGGGAAUCUUCGGCAAUGGACGAAAGUCUGACCGAGCAACGCCGCGUGAGUGAAGAAGGUUUUCGGAUCGUAAAACUCUGUUGUUAGAGAAGAACAAGGACGUUAGUAACUGAACGUCCCCUGACGGUAUCUAACCAGAAAGCCACGGCUAACUACGUGCCAGCAGCCGCGGUAAUACGUAGGUGGCAAGCGUUGUCCGGAUUUAUUGGGCGUAAAGCGAGCGCAGGCGGUUUCUUAAGUCUGAUGUGAAAGCCCCCGGCUCAACCGGGGAGGGUCCUUGGAAACUGGGCGACUUGAGUGCAGAAGCGGAGAGUGGAAUUCCAUGUGUAGCGGUGAAAUGCGUAGAUAUAUGGAGGAACACCAGUGGCGAAGGCGGCUCUCUGGUCUGUAACUGACGCUGAGGCUCGAAAGCGUGGGGAGCAAACAGG